Molecule: microRNA, 23 nt
Filed under: Simian foamy virus
Lineage: Riboviria; Pararnavirae; Artverviricota; Revtraviricetes; Ortervirales; Retroviridae
Description: sfv-miR-S7-3p
Gene: sfv-miR-S7-3p
Source: miRBase by way of RNAcentral
CCUCAUUCAGAGAGCCUUCUUUU